This 507-nucleotide ribosomal RNA is filed under the name uncultured bacterium. RNAcentral describes it as "bacterial SSU rRNA". It matches the Rfam family "Bacterial small subunit ribosomal RNA", at positions 31 to 527 of the family's 1533-position model. The record is from RNAcentral.
GAACGCUGGCGGCAGGCCUAACACAUGCAAGUCGAACGGUAACAGGAAGAAGCUUGCUUCUUUGCUGACGAGUGGCGGACGGGUGAGUAAUGUCUGGGAAACUGCCUGAUGGAGGGGGAUAACUACUGGAAACGGUAGCUAAUACCGCAUAACGUCGCAAGACCAAAGAGGGGGACCUUCGGGCCUCUUGCCAUCGGAUGUGCCCAGAUGGGAUUAGCUAGUAGGUGGGGUAACGGCUCACCUAGGCGACGAUCCCUAGCUGGUCUGAGAGGAUGACCAGCCACACUGGAACUGAGACACGGUCCAGACUCCUACGGGAGGCAGCAGUGGGGAAUAUUGCACAAUGGGCGCAAGCCUGAUGCAGCCAUGCCGCGUGUAUGAAGAAGGCCUUCGGGUUGUAAAGUACUUUCAGCGGGGAGGAAGGGAGUAAAGUUAAUACCUUUGCUCAUUGACGUUACCCGCAGAAGAAGCACCGGCUAACUCCGUGCCAGCAGCCGCGGUAAUACG